RNAcentral lists this transfer RNA (70 nucleotides) under Pennahia macrocephala. RNAcentral's name for it is "tRNA-Pro". It matches the Rfam family "tRNA". Rfam says of the family: Transfer RNA (tRNA) molecules are approximately 80 nucleotides in length. Their secondary structure includes four short double-helical elements and three loops (D, anti-codon, and T loops). Further hydrogen bonds mediate the characteristic L-shaped molecular structure. tRNAs have two regions of fundamental functional importance: the anti-codon, which is responsible for specific mRNA codon recognition, and the 3' end, to which the tRNAs corresponding amino acid is attached (by aminoacyl-tRNA synthetases). tRNAs cope with the degeneracy of the genetic code in two manners: having more than one tRNA (with a specific anti-codon) for a particular amino acid; and 'wobble' base-pairing, i.e. permitting non-standard base-pairing at the 3rd anti-codon position. The record is from RNAcentral. Lineage: Eukaryota; Metazoa; Chordata; Actinopteri; Sciaenidae.
CAAAAAGUAGUUUAAUUUAGAAUACUAGCUUUGGGAGUUAGUGGUGGAGGUUAGAUUCCUUCUUUUUUGA